GUGUCAGCCGCCGCGGUAAAACGUAGGAGACGAGCGUUAUCCGGAUUUACUGGGCGUAAAGCGCGUGCAGGCGGUUAGAUAAGUCACUUGUGAAAGCACCCGGCUCAACUGGGUGAGGCCAGGUGAGACUGUCUGACUUGAGAGAGGUAGAGGCGAAUGGAAUUCCGGGUGGAGUGGUGAAAUGCGUAGAGAUCCGGAGGAACACCAGUGGCGAAGGCGAUUCGCUGGGCCUUCUCUGACGCUCAGACGCGACAGCAUGGGGAGCGAACGGGAUUAGAAACCCCUGUAGUCC
RNAcentral lists this ribosomal RNA (292 nucleotides) under uncultured bacterium. RNAcentral describes it as "partial 16S ribosomal RNA". It matches the Rfam family "Bacterial small subunit ribosomal RNA", at positions 505 to 796 of the family's 1533-position model. The record is from RNAcentral.